AGUCUCAUUAUCAAGAGUCACUAUGAUCAGAGUUCUAGUCAUUUUUCAGUCAUUUUACUGGAUUCAAGGAGUCUCAGGGGCGAAUGAUGUCUCUCAGCCCAGCACACUCUGGGUUACAAUGGGUCAAUCAGCCACAAUAAACUGCUCACACAGCAAGAGUGCAUCGUACGAUCGGAUGUACUGGUUUCGUCAGCUUCAUGGACAGAGCAUGGAGCUCGUUGUGUACUCUCCCACAUACGGCACUCCAGAUUUCGGAAACUUCAGCCAAAGUAAAUUCUCAGUCAAUAAAACCACCAGUGAGCGCGGCUCAUUUACAGUGAAAGAUGUGGAUUAUAAUGACAGAGGUGUGUAUUUCUGUGCCGUGAGUGAACACAGUGUUAUAACCACAUGA
Tachysurus vachellii is the source of this 391-nucleotide non-coding RNA. The record is from the annotation of a RefSeq genome assembly. Lineage: Eukaryota; Metazoa; Chordata; Actinopteri; Siluriformes; Bagridae.